AAAAUGAUAGGAUUUUAGCAUGCAGUUAAUGUAACUUUGUACUAAAUCAAGGACACAUAUUUUUUGAGACGAAGGGAGUAGAUGGCAACACCACAAGAUUGUCCACUCGAACUCUUCAAUACAACGGCAAAUUACCUUAUGAUUAACAGAAACUCACAACAGUAAUAGGUAAAGUCCUUGUCGAAUCGACCAAACACAAAGCUCAGUUUGUGGUCCAUCAACCACACACACACACACACACACACACGCUAGGUUGUAUGGUUGAUGCACACGACAGGCACAAACAACCCUUUUAUUACAAACCAACAGAGGCCAGCCAGCCAGCCAGCUUGAUCGUGAACACCACAUCUAGCUGGAGCUGGACAAACCAAGCAAGCAAGCAACCCAGUGCUGCUUGCUUGGUUGACACACCAAUCCAUAAGAUACCCACAUCAGGCAUAGCUUGGCUGAAGAAAGCGCGCCGCAGAUGGAGCUUGUAACAAACGCACCGCCAAUGUGAAACACACUUGAGAGGAUUUUUGUUCUUGUUGCAAAACACACUUUCAGAGAGUUGCGAAUGAGGUCACAACUUAAUUGUAACUCCAAUUUAAUAGACUGAUGGAUGGUCCAUGCAGGCCGACGUCCUUUGCGUCCAGAUUACCUAGGAAAUGAAGAACGGAAAUGGAAGACAUUAGUAACACAGUACAUCAAGAAUACUUGCUCCCCCUAUUUUUAUGAAUAGGAGAAAUUAAAUACAUGUCCGAAUGAACCGCACCUCAGAACGGAUACCCUCGGGAGGGUCACCUUGUAGUAAGCCGAGUGGCGUGUCUCGAAGAACGCCGGCUCAUGGUUGCCCUCAGAGCGGUCCCACUCGAGCCUGUCCC
This 863-nucleotide long non-coding RNA is filed under the name Triticum aestivum (bread wheat). Its description in RNAcentral is "long non-coding RNA (TAES_LNC011333)". Lineage: Eukaryota; Viridiplantae; Streptophyta; Magnoliopsida; Poales; Poaceae. The record is from RNAcentral.